GCCGGGCGCGGUGGCGCGUGCCUGUAAUCCAAGCUACUGGGAGGCUGAGGCUGGCGGAUCCUUUGAGCUCAGGGGUUCUGGGCUGCAGUGGGCUAUGCCGAUCGGGUGUCCGCACUAAGUUCGGUAUCGAUAUGGUGCUCCUGAGGGAGCUCGGGACCACCAGGUCGCCUAAGGAGGGGUGAACCGGCCCAGGUCGAGAACGGAGCAGGUCAAAGCCCCCGUGCCGAUCAGUAGUGGGAUCGCGCCUGUGAAUAGACACUGCCGUGCAGCCUGAGUAAUACAGCGGGACUCAGUCUUUU
Molecule: unclassified non-coding RNA, 299 nt
Organism: Ictalurus punctatus (channel catfish)
Lineage: Eukaryota; Metazoa; Chordata; Actinopteri; Siluriformes; Ictaluridae
Rfam family: Metazoan signal recognition particle RNA
About the family: The signal recognition particle (SRP) is a universally conserved ribonucleoprotein. It is involved in the co-translational targeting of proteins to membranes. The eukaryotic SRP consists of a 300-nucleotide 7S RNA and six proteins: SRPs 72, 68, 54, 19, 14, and 9.
Source: Ensembl